This is a long non-coding RNA of Mus musculus (house mouse), 441 nucleotides long. RefSeq annotates it as predicted gene, 35548. The transcript has 3 exons. The record is from RefSeq and is a predicted model, not a curated record. NCBI's taxonomy places the organism in Eukaryota, Metazoa, Chordata, Mammalia, Rodentia, Muridae.
ACAGAAUCAUCUGGUAUCUCAUGGGGUGUGUGCUGAGAUGACUUAUCCAGACAAUAAGAGGUAACUUUUCUUACUGUUGAGUGAUGAGAAGAGAUAAAUACAACUCUGGAUGCAGUCAUAGAUGGUGAAUGGAAGCCACACAUCUCAGAUGCAGACCCAGAAGAACAAAUGUUGGCAAGAUCAUAGUGGCAAGAUUACAGCCAUAGACCCACACCCAGCAUCAUAGAUACCAGAGAAGUUUGGGUACAGGACUCCAAGGUCAAUACUUGCUAUUCUUUCAGAGGCCCUGCGAUCAUUUUCUAGAAUCCAGCUCAGAUGACUCACAAGUCCUGUACUUUCAGCUCUAUGAAUCCAGUCCUCUCUUUUGGCUUUUACAGACUCCAGUGCACAUGUGGCACACAAGCACCAGCAUUUGAUUAUUGUCUUUUCACAGUGAAAUCA